This is a non-coding RNA of Dipodomys ordii (Ord's kangaroo rat), 70 nucleotides long. Lineage: Eukaryota; Metazoa; Chordata; Mammalia; Rodentia; Heteromyidae. The record is from Rfam.
GGGAAUGUGGCUUAGUGGUAGAGUGCUUGCUUAGCAUGCAUGAAGCCCUAGGUUAGAUUCCUCAGUACCA